This 393-nucleotide ribosomal RNA is filed under the name uncultured bacterium. RNAcentral describes it as "bacterial SSU rRNA". It matches the Rfam family "Bacterial small subunit ribosomal RNA", at positions 28 to 424 of the family's 1533-position model. The record is from RNAcentral.
GACGAACGCUGGCGGCGUGCUUAACACAUGCAAGUCGAGCGGUAAGGCCCUUUCGGGGGUACACGAGCGGCGAACGGGUGAGUAACACGUGGGUGACCUGCCCUCAGCUCUGGGAUAAGCCUGGGGAACCGGGUCUAAUACUGGAUAUGACUCCAUGACGCAUGUUGUGGGGUGGAAAGCCUUGUGCGGCUGAGGAUGGGCCCGCGGCCUAUCAGCUUGUUGGUGGGGUGANGGCCUACCAAGGCGACGACGGGUAGCCGGCCUGAGAGGGCGACCGGCCACACUGGGACUGAGACACGGCCCAGACUCCUACGGGAGGCAGCAGUGGGGAAUCUUGCGCAAUGGGCGAAAGCCUGACGCAGCGACGCCGCGUGAGGGAUGACGGCCUCGGUU